This is a long non-coding RNA of Agrilus planipennis (emerald ash borer), 329 nucleotides long. RefSeq lists it as uncharacterized. Lineage: Eukaryota; Metazoa; Arthropoda; Insecta; Coleoptera; Buprestidae. The record is from RefSeq and is a predicted model, not a curated record. The transcript is spliced from 2 exons.
GCAUCAUGACAUCAUAAACUAAAGGUGCUUAAUCAAAACAACUGAUAAUUUUUUUUAAACAAAGUUUGAGAUCCGAUUUGCUCCGUUAUCAUUUCAACUCAAAUAACAUACGCGGAACAGGUGUUUCAACGAUUUCGAAUAUUUUGAUUUUAACACAGGUCCAUUUUUAAGGAUGUUUUUGGUUGUGCCCGAUUUAAAACAUCUCUUCCUGUUAUUCUCCAUUGGAUUUUAUUAUGUUGGGGGUACCAGCUGCAAAACACCUUUAUUAAAGAAAUGCAAGUGUGGCAGGGGCCCAUAUGAUGGCAAAGAAUUAUUUAUUGUCAACUGUA